UACGUAGGGACCGAGCGUUGUCCGGAAUCAUUGGGCGUAAAGAGCGUGUAGGCGGCCAAUUAAGUCCUGCGUGAAAUCUCGGGGCUCAACCCCGAGCGGUCGUGGGAAACUGGUUGGCUAGAGUGCGGGAGAGGAGAGUGGAAUUCCUGGUGUAGCGGUGAAAUGCGCAGAUAUCAGGAAGAACACCCGUGGCGAAGGCGGCUCUCUGGGACGGUACUGACGCUGAGACGCGAAAGCGUGGGGAGCGAACAGG
This 253-nucleotide ribosomal RNA is filed under the name uncultured bacterium. RNAcentral describes it as "partial 16S ribosomal RNA". It matches the Rfam family "Bacterial small subunit ribosomal RNA", at positions 524 to 776 of the family's 1533-position model. The record is from RNAcentral.